This 119-nucleotide ribosomal RNA is filed under the name Triticum aestivum (bread wheat). Lineage: Eukaryota; Viridiplantae; Streptophyta; Magnoliopsida; Poales; Poaceae. The record is from RNAcentral.
GGAUGUGAUCAUACCAGCACUAAAGCACCGGAUCCCAUCAGAACUCCGAAGUUAAGCGUGCUUGGGCGAGAGGAGUACUAGGAUGGGUGACCUCCUGGGAAGUCCUCGUGUUGCAUUCC